RNAcentral lists this ribosomal RNA (250 nucleotides) under uncultured bacterium. RNAcentral's name for it is "partial 16S ribosomal RNA". It matches the Rfam family "Bacterial small subunit ribosomal RNA", at positions 527 to 776 of the family's 1533-position model. The record is from RNAcentral.
GAAGGGUGCUAGCGUUGCUCGGAAUCACUGGGCGUAAAGCGCGCGUAGGCGGACCUGCAAGUCGGGGGUGAAAGCCCGAGGCUCAACCUCGGAACUGCCUUCGAUACUGCGGGUCUCGAGUCCGGGAGAGGUGAGUGGAAUUCCUAGUGUAGAGGUGAAAUUCGUAGAUAUUAGGAAGAACACCAGUGGCGAAGGCGGCUCUCUGGCCCGGUUCUGACGCUGAGGCGCGAAAGCGUGGGGAGCAAACAGG